RNAcentral lists this long non-coding RNA (220 nucleotides) under Gossypium barbadense (sea-island cotton). Its description in RNAcentral is "long non-coding RNA (GBAR_LNC021942)". Lineage: Eukaryota; Viridiplantae; Streptophyta; Magnoliopsida; Malvales; Malvaceae. The record is from RNAcentral.
AAAGUUUAACCUACCAUGUGUCAAGCAUUUGCCCCAGGUUUUUUUUUAAUAUAUGGUUUACAUUUUUCUUACAUAAUGUAAAAAAAAAAAAAAAAACCCCAACACACACACACACACACACACACACAAUAUUCAAUCGGAGUAAGGAGAAAAUAGGGAGGAAAAGGUGUUGCAUAUUAAAUAUUUUUUUAUUUAAUCAUAGUUUGUACAAGAAAUUAAU